GUCUCUCUUUUAAGAUUUUAUGGAUCUUAAAAAGAUCUUUUAAUAAUCUUUAUAAACUAUGAUGAAAGGAUCUUGACCAUUGAUAGUCGAAUAGCCUACUAGUCCCUACAUUUGAUCAGACUGAGCAUUAUAAGAUUUCACCAUCAAUUGCAUCCUAGCAUCCAAGCAUGACCCUUGACUUAUAGUUGAUCAAUUGGAUGCCC
RNAcentral lists this long non-coding RNA (203 nucleotides) under Elaeis guineensis (African oil palm). RNAcentral describes it as "long non-coding RNA (EGUI_LNC051480)". Lineage: Eukaryota; Viridiplantae; Streptophyta; Magnoliopsida; Arecales; Arecaceae. The record is from RNAcentral.